This 2492-nucleotide long non-coding RNA is filed under the name Sus scrofa (pig). RNAcentral describes it as "lncRNA (ENSSSCG00000058462.1)". Lineage: Eukaryota; Metazoa; Chordata; Mammalia; Artiodactyla; Suidae. The record is from RNAcentral.
AAGCAUAUCCCGGCUGACACCUGAAGGACGCAGCUUAACCGCUCAGCCCCUAGCGGGUCCUGCUGGGCGUACCUUCGACACCUGGGCAGACAGAGAUCCCCCCCAUGAUGCCUAUUUUAUCCUGAUAUCGUCCAACUGCUGAGAGUGGGGGUGGACAGCGUGAUUUACCUCUGCCAAAUGCAGAAGAUUUGGAAGGCAUCUUGGGACCCUUCUCCAUUCCUAGAUUUCCUGAUGGAUGGUGCUGAAGAUUCUUUUCCAUCAUAGGUUAUUACAAAGAUAUUGAAUAUAGUUCCCUCUACUAUACAUGAACUAGCUGGGACAAAUUCUCUUGCCGAAAGUGGAGCUGCAAAGGCACAAGAGAGCAAGUGGAAAUGCACAGGUGCUUUUCCAGCCCCUGCUUGUUCCUGUCUGUUAACAUUCCAUUGGCCAAGGGACAUCUCUUCUCCACAUGGAAUGAGUAAGGUGAAGAGGAAUAGGAGAAUGAAUGAAACUUGGUAAGGGAAGAUGGAAACCCAAGAUGAAAUGAUGAUAGAAUGUGGAAGAAUCCAGAGCUGCUCCAAGUGAGUUCAAACCCCCAGCUUCAAGAAAUAACCUCUUCGGGCCCCAACAAAAGUUCACCAAACAAUUGUCAGUGAUUUGGGAGGACAUCACUGAGAAUAGGAGAGAUAUCAGAAGAUGGGAGACAGUGGGAUAUCCCAAUUUUCAGAAAGAGAAUGAAGGCAGAGCCAGAAAAAUUGUAGACAAUUGUCUGUAACUUCAAUCUCAGGCAAAACACCAGAACGAGUUGCUAGAGGAACAGUUUCAGGUACAAGAUGAAGUAAUGAUUGACUCAGAAUGAGUUCACUAAGGACAAGUCAAGGCUGUUUAUCUCUUUUCUUCUUUGACAGAGUCACUCAUCCAAGAGCUCUGAGAAUGCCCAUGUACAGAGAGUAUUUCAUCAUUGGUUAGACAUUUAUGAGGUUUUUCAUGGUGUUCUUUUGGACAAGAUUGGGAAAUAUGAACUGGACUCUGGCAUACUUGAUGAAUUAGUAACCAGUUGAUUAUAUGCACAAGGUGCUGACUAACACAUUGAUAUCAAACUGUGAGGUAUAUAAUGAUGAGUAAGGAAGUAUAUAAGGAAGCAUAUAAUGAUGAGUCCUAGAGCUGUGUCCAUUUUUCCAUCAUAAAUGCUUUCAGAAUAGAAAUACAUAAGGUGUGCUCAUUAAAUUUAUAGGUAACCUGAAGUUGGAGAUAUAAUGAAGACUUACUUGGAUGACAGAAUCAGAAUCAGUGAGCUGAAUCUAAAAGGAUGAGAUUUGAAAGUUAUUAAUAGGAGGUGUGAGGAACUAAUUAUAUCAGUAAGAAUGGGUUAUACUUGCUUUAGCAGAAACUAAGAACCUUGGCCCAAUUUGAGCCAGAAGUGUAAUGUGGUUGCCAAAAACCCUCAAGAUUUUAGGCUUUUCCAUCACACAAAUACAAUUAAUGUAAAUAACCUUAAGAGAGUAGAUAAUAGAGAUAUAUAGUAAAAUAAUUAGGAAGUGAUGUUUUAAGUAUUUUUUACCUUUGUUUUUGAUAUAAUAUAUAUAAGUUGAUAUAAUUUAGCUUUUAAUUAUGGCUGCAUUUAACAGUUGGCCCACACAGUUCUUAAAAAUUUAAUGCUCAGCUCUUGGAACUUUGUGCAUCCAGGCUCCAGGCCAUAGGAACAAAAAAUGUGGUAACUGGAACAAGGGAGGUAAUAGCCCUGUUGUUCUCUGCAAUUGUCAGACCACGCCCGGAUCACUUCAUUCCAGAGCACAUGACUUACAAGUCAAACUGUUCUGAGAUCAGAGCCGAGCAGCCAAGGUGGCAGGAAACCAAAGCCCUAUGGGUGUGGAACUGUGUACAGAAUUAGGGCUGGAGCUCAAAGGGUUUAGGACCAGAGGGACAGGUAAAUGCCUAUUUUCAAAUACCUGGGGGACUAUUGCCUGAGGAAGGGCUGGGCCUACAAUCUGUAAGUGGAAGAAAGGUACAGGGAGACAGGUUUCUGCUCAGGGUAAGAAAGAACUUUCAAAGCUAUCACAAGAGGAAUGGGCUGAAAGUAAUCCUGCAACAGCAUUUAGGUACAAUGUAGAGAUGGUUCAAGUCUCAGAGGAGGUAAUAGGGCCUCACCCAAGUCCCUGUCUUCCUGAAUCUUGAUCCACCGCUCUUUCUAGGCCAGCUCUUAUUAGAAGGGUAGUAAAGUGCGGUUAAAAAAACCUAUUUUUUUUAAUUAAGGAAACUUUCAAAAAUGAAAAAGUAGGGAGUUCCCUUCAUGGCUCAGCAGUUAACAAACCCGACUUGGAUCCAUGAGGACUCAGGUUCGAUCCCCGGCCUGGCUCAGUGCUUUAAUGAUCCGGUGGUGUGGUGCCAUGAGCUGUGGUGUAGACUGAAGAUGCAGCUCAGACCCGGCAUUGCUGUGGCUGUGGUGUAGGCCGGCAGCUGUAGCUCCGAUUCGACCCCCAGCCUGGGGACUUUCAUAUACUGCAGGUGCAGCC